This 510-nucleotide ribosomal RNA is filed under the name uncultured bacterium. Its description in RNAcentral is "partial 16S ribosomal RNA". It matches the Rfam family "Bacterial small subunit ribosomal RNA", at positions 28 to 507 of the family's 1533-position model. The record is from RNAcentral.
GACGAACGCUGGCGGCGUGCUUAACACAUGCAAGUCGAACGAAGAGCGAUGGAAGCUUGCUUCUAUCAAUCUUAGUGGCGAACGGGUGAGUAACGCGUAAUCAACCUGCCCUUCAGAGGGGGACAACAGUUGGAAACGACUGCUAAUACCGCAUACGAUCUAAUCUCGGCAUCGAGGAUAGAUGAAAGGUGGCCUCUACAUGUAAGCUAUCACUGAAGGAGGGGAUUGCGUCUGAUUAGCUAGUUGGAGGGGUAACGGCCCACCAAGGCGAUGAUCAGUAGCCGGUCUGAGAGGAUGAACGGCCACAUUGCGACUGAGACACGGCCCAGACUCCUACGGGAGGCAGCAGUGGGGAAUCUUCCGCAAUGGACGAAAGUCUGACGGAGCAACGCCGCGUGAGUGAUGACGGCCUUCGGGUUGUAAAGCUCUGUUAAUCGGGACGAAAGGCCUUCUUGCGAAUAGUGAGAAGGAUUGACGGUACCGGAAUAGAAAGCCACGGCUAACUACGUG